CGUGUAGGCGGUCAGGUAAGUGGAAUGUGAAAUUCCCCGGCUCACCCGGGGACCGGCAUCCCAAACUGCCUGGCUUGAGUAUGGGAGAGGAUGGAGGAAUUCCUGGUGUAGCGGUGAAAUGCGUAGAUAUCAGGAGGAACACCGGUGGCGAAGGCGUCCAUCUGGCCCAAUACUGACGCUGAGGCGCGAAAGCUAGGGGAGCAAACGG
Molecule: ribosomal RNA, 208 nt
Filed under: uncultured Latescibacterota bacterium
Lineage: Bacteria; Pseudomonadati; Candidatus Latescibacterota
Description: uncultured Latescibacteria bacterium partial 16S ribosomal RNA
Rfam family: Bacterial small subunit ribosomal RNA
Source: RNAcentral